GCCGAGGUGGCGGAACUGGCAGACGCGCACGGUUUAGGACCGUGUACCGCAAGGUGUGCAGGUUCGACUCCUGUCCUCGGCA
RNAcentral lists this transfer RNA (82 nucleotides) under Candidatus Curtissbacteria bacterium RIFCSPHIGHO2_02_39_8. RNAcentral's name for it is "tRNA-Leu". It matches the Rfam family "tRNA". Rfam says of the family: Transfer RNA (tRNA) molecules are approximately 80 nucleotides in length. Their secondary structure includes four short double-helical elements and three loops (D, anti-codon, and T loops). Lineage: Bacteria; Candidatus Curtissiibacteriota. The record is from RNAcentral. RNAcentral also lists the same sequence under 2 other names.